GUGAACGCUGGCGGUAGGCCUAACACAUGCCAGUCGAACGGCAGCACAGUAAGAGCUUGCUCUUACGGGUGGCGAGUGGCGGACGGGUGAGGAAUACAUCGGAAUCUACUUUUUCGUGGGGGAUAACGAAGGGAAACUUACGCUAAUACCGCAUACGACCUACGGGUGAAAGCGGGGGAUCUUCGGACCUUGCGCGAUUAAAUGAGCCGAUGUCGGAUUAGCUAGUUGGCGGGGUAAAGGCCCACCAAGGCGACGAUCCGUAGCUGGUCUGAGAGGAUGAUCAGCCACACUGGAACUGAGACACGGUCCAGACUCCUACGGGAGGCAGCAGUGGGGAAUAUUGGACAAUGGGCGCAAGCCUGAUCCAGCCAUACCGCGUGGGUGAAGAAGGCCUUCGGGUUGUAAAGCCCUUUUGUUGGGAAAGAAAAGCAGCAGGUUAAUACCCCGCUGUUCUGACGGUACCCAAAGAAUAAGCACCGGCUAACUUCGUG
RNAcentral lists this ribosomal RNA (491 nucleotides) under uncultured bacterium. RNAcentral describes it as "partial 16S ribosomal RNA". It matches the Rfam family "Bacterial small subunit ribosomal RNA", at positions 29 to 507 of the family's 1533-position model. The record is from RNAcentral.